AAGAAACAAGCACACCCAUGGAACAGAAGACGGAUCUUCCCCUUACUACGUUUAUGUGCACAAGCUUUCCAGCCGAGGAGCUCAAGGAUUCUGUCCUCCCCAUUUUACCCUCUCAACAACCCCACAAGAGCCUCCUGUGAAACGGGAGAUUCCAGUCCCAGGACCUCCUUUUCCAGCAGAUGUACAUGGCAAUGGCAGAAAGUGUAGAAGGCUGUGCAGAGGUUGGGAGAACCAUGGCUGUUGCUGAACAGGAACAACUUCAGCCAGCAUUCCACUCAUCAUAGUCUUAGUUAAGAGGGAAGCCAGCGCACCAUCUGCUCAUG
Long non-coding RNA from Zootoca vivipara (common lizard), 323 nucleotides. RefSeq lists it as uncharacterized. The record is from RefSeq and is a predicted model, not a curated record. NCBI's taxonomy places the organism in Eukaryota, Metazoa, Chordata, Lepidosauria, Squamata, Lacertidae.